This is a non-coding RNA of Frankliniella occidentalis (western flower thrips), 72 nucleotides long. Lineage: Eukaryota; Metazoa; Arthropoda; Insecta; Thysanoptera; Thripidae. The record is from the annotation of a RefSeq genome assembly.
UCCCCGGUGGCGCAGUUGGCAGCGCGUUAUCCAGAAAAAUAAUGGUCGGAGGUUCGAAUCCUCCCCGGGGAA